AAUGUGAAUAGAGGCGCGAGAGCUAAGAGUAAAAUGUGGGAUGUGUUACGAACACAGUUGAACACGUUUGAAAGGGGUGAUCGCCGAAGUGGGGGCUGUGUCGUAGCGAACCUGCUGGUGUGUUGUAAAAGAUAUAACACAUUGUCAAGGAGUCUUGGAGGGCUAUUCUCAUU
RNAcentral lists this non-coding RNA (173 nucleotides) under Brochothrix campestris. RNAcentral's name for it is "Lysine sequence". It matches the Rfam family "Lysine riboswitch aptamer". From Rfam's summary of the family: Riboswitches are metabolite binding domains within certain messenger RNAs that serve as precision sensors for their corresponding targets. Allosteric rearrangement of mRNA structure is mediated by ligand binding, and this results in modulation of gene expression. The record is from RNAcentral. RNAcentral also lists the same sequence under 1 other name. Lineage: Bacteria; Bacillati; Bacillota; Bacilli; Caryophanales; Listeriaceae.